Molecule: long non-coding RNA, 416 nt
Filed under: Olea europaea subsp. europaea
Lineage: Eukaryota; Viridiplantae; Streptophyta; Magnoliopsida; Lamiales; Oleaceae
Source: RNAcentral
CUUUGUUCGUGAAGCUAUGUUUGUGUAGUGUUUGGGUUAUGGUGAAUUUUUAUUGGACUUACUUUCUAUUUAAAUUUUAGCAAUUGUUGAUCAUUUUGUUGGAAUGGACUUCAAAACAAAAAAUACAAAUUGCUAAACAAAAGGCAUGUGUCUUCUCUGCCUAGGUGCGCCUUAGGCAAUCAACGUUGGUCCUUUUUCCGCCUACGUGCAAGGCAAAUCAUUUUCUCCAUGCCCCUCUUCUUGGUGGGUAUUUUUAGAAUAAAGAUUCAUCUUGAUUAUCAUAAACAUCGUCAUUUUUUUUCCUCUUGUGCAUCGUAUUUUAUGUAGCAAAAUGUUUUGAAACAACAUAACAAUAAUACAAUAUUUACAUAAAUUAUUGCAAGCAUUUUCAACUAAUUUUCAUAAGUAUAAUCACA